GGUUUGAUUCUGGCUCAGGACGAACGCUGGCGGCGUGCCUAAUACAUGCAAGUAGAGCGCUGAAGAGAGGAGCUUGCUCUUCUUGGAUGAGUUGCGAACGGGUGAGUAACGCGUAGGUAACCUGCCUUGUAGCGGGGGAUAACUAUUGGAAACGAUAGCUAAUACCGCAUAACAAUGGAUGACCCAUGUCAUUUAUUUGAAAGGGGCAAAUGCUCCACUACAAGAUGGACCUGCGUUGUAUUAGCUAGUAGGUGAGGUAACGGCUCACCUAGGCGACGAUACAUAGCCGACCUGAGAGGGUGAUCGGCCACACUGGGACUGAGACACGGCCCAGACUCCUACGGGAGGCAGCAGUAGGGAAUCUUCGGCAAUGGGGGCAACCCUGACCGAGCAACGCCGCGUGAGUGAAGAAGGUUUUCGGAUCGUAAAGCUCUGUUGUAAGUCAAGAACGAGUGUGAGAGUGGAAAGUUCACACUGUGACGGUAGCUUACCAGAAAGGGACGGCUAACUACGUGCCAGCAGCCGCGGUAAUACGUAGGUCCCGAGCGUUGUCCGGAUUUAUUGGGCGUAAAGCGAGCGCAGGCGGUUUGAUAAGUCUGAAGUUAAAGGCUGUGGCUCAACCAUAGUUCGCUUUGGAAACUGUCAAACUUGAGUGCAGAAGGGGAGAGUGGAAUUCCAUGUGUAGCGGUGAAAUGCGUAGAUAUAUGGAGGAACACCGGUGGCGAAAGCGGCUCUCUGGUCUGUAACUGACGCUGAGGCUCGAAAGCGUGGGGAGCGAACAGGAUUAGAUACCCUGGUAGUCCACGCCGUAAACGAUGAGUGCUAGGUGUUGGAUCCUUUCCGGGAUUCAGUGCCGCAGCUAACGCAUUAAGCACUCCGCCUGGGGAGUACGACCGCAAGGUUGAAACUCAAAGGAAUUGACGGGGGCCCGCACAAGCGGUGGAGCAUGUGGUUUAAUUCGAAGCAACGCGAAGAACCUUACCAGGUCUUGACAUCCCGAUGCUAUUUCUAGAGAUAGAAAGUUACUUCGGUACAUCGGUGACAGGUGGUGCAUGGUUGUCGUCAGCUCGUGUCGUGAGAUGUUGGGUUAAGUCCCGCAACGAGCGCAGCCCCUAUUGUUAGUUGCCAUCAUUCAGUUGGGCACUCUAGCGAGACUGCCGGUAAUAAACCGGAGGAAGGUGGGGAUGACGUCAAAUCAUCAUGCCCCUUAUGACCUGGGCUACACACGUGCUACAAUGGUUGGUACAACGAGUUGCGAGUCGGUGACGGCAAGCUAAUCUCUUAAAGCCAAUCUCAGUUCGGAUUGUAGGCUGCAACUCGCCUACAUGAAGUCGGAAUCGCUAGUAAUCGCGGAUCAGCACGCCGCGGUGAAUACGUUCCCGGGCCUUGUACACACCGCCCGUCACACCACGAGAGUUUGUAACACCCGAAGUCGGUGAGGUAACCUUUUGGAGCCAGCCGCCUAAGGUGGGAUAGAUGAUUGGGGUGAAGUCGUAACAAGGUAUCC
Molecule: ribosomal RNA, 1507 nt
Filed under: uncultured bacterium
Lineage: Bacteria
Description: bacterial SSU rRNA
Rfam family: Bacterial small subunit ribosomal RNA
Source: RNAcentral